RNAcentral lists this small RNA (48 nucleotides) under Xanthomonas campestris pv. campestris. RNAcentral's name for it is "partial sX9 sRNA". It matches the Rfam family "Xanthomonas sRNA sX9", at positions 29 to 76 of the family's 76-position model. Lineage: Bacteria; Pseudomonadati; Pseudomonadota; Gammaproteobacteria; Lysobacterales; Lysobacteraceae. The record is from RNAcentral.
CGCGCCGUCCGCACCCACCUGACGGCUGCUCGCUACGUUUUGUUAGCC